UUGAUCCCUAGGCUUAGAAUAUUGAGAUCCAGAGAGAUCCGGGUUCGUAAGGUAACACGUCAUUGACUUCCGUUUGUGUCCUUCAAGGUCCGCUCCUUCCCUCCCCUCAAGCGAAUAAAGAGCCGUAAUUCAGACUCAUUCUCCUCAUAAAUCUUUCUUUCUUCGCCACUCACAAAUUUUCAUAUCCAACAAAUUCCAAAACCUCUCAACAUAUUCCAUCCAGCUAGCUGCACAAACUGAUCCUCUUGUCUCUGGUUUUCUCUUCAAAUGUGAAAGACUUUGCCUAGAAAAAUGAUGAAUAUGUUCUUCCCUCGACUUCUUCCUCAUUCUCUGUUCUUUGUUGCUUGCUUUAUAACUUUUGCCUUUGGAGCUGCUCGAUUGCCAAACGAUGAAGUGCAAACUUUGAAAGCCAGAGCAAAGACACUGGGGAAGAACUAGAAGGGCUGGGAUUUCAGUGGAGACGCAGAUCCAUGCAGCGGCCAACUUCCAUGGACUAAUUCAAGCGCACCCAAAGGAUUUGAGAAUGCCAUCAACUCUAAUUGCUCCUCCACUGUCUGCCAUAUUACUGGAAUGUAAACCUCUCUCUCUGUUCGCUCCCUAAAUUCGCCAUGAGCCACGCGGGCAUGCCGGGAAUUUACUCAAACAUGAAAUUGGUGGGUGUGAGCGUGCCACUACUAGAUGCCGUUAGUAGAUGGGAUUUGAAUGAUUGUGGUUGUGCCUAAGUUUGACUUUAAACCAAGAGAUUGUGCCAUUGAGUGGGAGUAGCUCAAAUCAAUGUUCUUUCUUUGCCUUAAAGAUAAGGACUUUACUUAUAUGGAGAAAUGUAACAACAACUAAAUGACAAGGUUGCUGGAAGUGUGAAUAACAGAGGAAAGUAAAUGACUGGUAUUGUAGAUUGCUUUUAAACUAAAUGACUGGAAAUGAGUUGUGCAAAAAAUACAAAGGAGAUCGAUACUACUAGUGAGCAGCAGAGCUAAUAAACAAGGAAAGUAAAGGAUGUUUAGCUAAAGCUAAAUGUCUACAAGGAGAUUGAUGAGCUAAUUUGAGUAGACUUGAUUGAUUGGUUGUUUGAGUGUCCAUAAUCCUUCUGCCUCUGUUUCUUUAUAUAGAGAUUUGAAAGAGCCCAUUUGCUGAGUGAUAAGCUCAUAUUUACAUAUAUUUUACAUCAAAUUCACUUGUCUUUUCUUA
Molecule: long non-coding RNA, 1188 nt
Organism: Pyrus x bretschneideri (Chinese white pear)
Lineage: Eukaryota; Viridiplantae; Streptophyta; Magnoliopsida; Rosales; Rosaceae
Exons: 2
Source: RefSeq, a predicted model, not a curated record